CAGCCGCCGCGGGAAAACGUAGGGUGCAAGCGUUAAUCGGAAUUACUGGGCGUAAAGCGUGCGCAGGCGGUUCGCUAAGACAGAUGUGAAAUCCCCGGGCUUAACCUGGGAACUGCAUUUGUGACUGGCGGGCUAGAGUAUGGCAGAGGGGGGUAGAAUUCCACGUGUAGCAGUGAAAUGCGUAGAGAUGUGGAGGAAUACCGAUGGCGAAGGCAGCCCCCUGGGCCAAUACUGACGCUCAUGCACGAAAGCGUGGGGAGCAAACAGGAUUAGAUACCCCCGUAGUCCCUGUCUCUUAUAC
RNAcentral lists this ribosomal RNA (301 nucleotides) under uncultured bacterium. RNAcentral's name for it is "partial 16S ribosomal RNA". It matches the Rfam family "Bacterial small subunit ribosomal RNA", at positions 509 to 807 of the family's 1533-position model. The record is from RNAcentral.